CGUAGGGUGCGAGCGUUAAUCGGAAUUACUGGGCGUAAAGCGUGCGCAGGCGGUUUUGUAAGACAGAUGUGAAAUCCCCGGGCUCAACCUGGGACCUGCAUUUGUGACUGCAAGGCUAGAGUACGGUAGAGGGGGAUGGAAUUCCGCGUGUAGCAGUGAAAUGCGUAGAUAUGCGGAGGACCACCGAUGGCGAAGGCAAUCCCCUGGACCUGUACUGACGCUCAUGCACGAAAGCGUGGGGAGCAAACAGGAUUAGAUACCCUGGUAGUCCACGCCCUAAACGAUGUCAACUGGUUGUUGGGUCUUUACUGACUCAGUAACGAAGCUAACGCGUGAAGUUGACCGCCUGGGGAGUACGGCCGCAAGGUUG
Molecule: ribosomal RNA, 370 nt
Filed under: uncultured organism
Description: bacterial SSU rRNA
Rfam family: Bacterial small subunit ribosomal RNA
Source: RNAcentral